AUUUUGGACAAUGGGGGAAACCCUGAUCCAGCCAUCCCGCGUGUAUGAUGAAUGCCUUCGGGUAGUAAAGUACUUUUGGAAGUGAAGAAAAGGUACCUCCUAAUACGAGGUACUGCUGACGGUAUCUGCAGAAUAAGCACCGUCUAACUACGUUCCAGCAGCCGCAGUAAUACGUAGUGUGCAAGCGUUAAUCGGAAUUACUGUGAGUAAAGCGUGUGUAGGCGGUUCGGAAAGAAAGAUGUGAAAUCCCAGGGCUCAAACUUGGAAAUGCAUUUUUAACUGCCGAGCUAGAGUAUGUCAGAGGGGGGUAGAAUUCCACGUGUAGCAGUGAAAUGCGUAGAUAUGUGGAGGAAUACCGAUGGCGAAGGCAGCCCCCUGGGAUAAUACUGACGCUCAGACACGAAAGCGUGGGGAGCAAACA
RNAcentral lists this ribosomal RNA (421 nucleotides) under uncultured bacterium. Its description in RNAcentral is "partial 16S ribosomal RNA". It matches the Rfam family "Bacterial small subunit ribosomal RNA", at positions 361 to 774 of the family's 1533-position model. The record is from RNAcentral.